This 467-nucleotide ribosomal RNA is filed under the name uncultured bacterium. Its description in RNAcentral is "partial 16S ribosomal RNA". It matches the Rfam family "Bacterial small subunit ribosomal RNA", at positions 28 to 506 of the family's 1533-position model. The record is from RNAcentral.
GACGAACGCUGGCGGCGUGCUUAACACAUGCAAGUCGAACGGAAAGGCCCUGCUUUUGUGGGGUGCUCGAGUGGCGAACGGGUGAGUAACACGUGAGUAACCUGCCCUUGACUUUGGGAUAACUUCAGGAAACUGGGGCUAAUACCGGAUAGGAGCUCCUGCUGCAUGGUGGGGGUUGGAAAGUUUCGGCGGUUGGGGAUGGACUCGCGGCUUAUCAGCUUGUUGGUGGGGUAGUGGCUUACCAAGGCUUUGACGGGUAGCCGGCCUGAGAGGGUGACCGGCCACAUUGGGACUGAGAUACGGCCCAGACUCCUACGGGAGGCAGCAGUGGGGAAUAUUGCACAAUGGGCGGAAGCCUGAUGCAGCAACGCCGCGUGCGGGAUGACGGCCUUCGGGUGGUAAACCGCUUUCGCCUGUGACGAAGCGUGAGGGACGGGAAUGGGGAAAGAAGCACCGGCGAACUACGG